This 560-nucleotide ribosomal RNA is filed under the name Poecilimon ampliatus. RNAcentral's name for it is "SSU rRNA". It matches the Rfam family "Eukaryotic small subunit ribosomal RNA", at positions 720 to 1163 of the family's 1831-position model. Lineage: Eukaryota; Metazoa; Arthropoda; Insecta; Orthoptera; Tettigoniidae. The record is from RNAcentral.
AUGAUUCGUGGGACGUCCUGCCGGUGGUGGCGAGUCGAAGGCGUGCUCCCGUCGUGGUUUCCACGUCGGUUCUUGCGCGCCCGAGGCGGACCCCGAUGAAAUCCUACCGCGGUGCUCUUAAUCGAGUGUCGAGGUGGGCCGGCACGUUUACUUUGAACAAAUUAGAGUGCUUAAAGCAGGCCUGUUGCGCCUGAAUACUGUGUGCAUGGAAUAAUGGAAUAGGACCUCGGUUCUAUUUUGUUGGUUUUCGGAACCCGAGGUAAUGAUUAAUAGGGACAGGCGGGGGCAUUCGUAUUGCGACGUUAGAGGUGAAAUUCUUGGAUCGUCGCAAGACGGACCGAAGCGAAAGCAUUUGCCAAGUAUGUUUUCAUUAAUCAAGAACGAAAGUUAGAGGUUCGAAGGCGAUCAGAUACCGCCCUAGUUCUAACCAUAAACGAUGCCAGCUAGCGAUCCGCCGAAGUUCCUCCGAUGACUCGGCGGGCAGCUCCCGGGAAACCAAAGCUUUUGGGUUCCGGGGGAAGUAUGGUUGCAAAGCUGAAACUUAAGGAAUUGACGGAAGG